AACGGCGUAGUGAAGCGGCAAAAGCUCAAAUUUGAAAUCUGGCUCCUUUGGGGCCCGAGUUGUAAUUUGCAGAGGAUGCUUCGGGCGUGGCCGCGGUCUAAGUCCCCUGGAACGGGGCGUCGCAGAGGGUGAGAAUCCCGUCUUCGGCCGGCCGGCUUCGCCCAUGUGAAGCUCCUUCGACGAGUCGAGUUGUUUGGGAAUGCAGCUCUAAAUGGGUGGUAAAUUUCAUCUAAAGCUAAAUAUUGGUCGGAGACCGAUAGCGCACAAGUAGAGUGAUCGAAAGAUGAAAAGCACUUUGAAAAGAGAGUUAAACAGCAUGUGAAAUUGUUGAAAGGGAAGCGCUUGCGACCAGAGUCGGCCGUGGGGGUUCAGCGGGCAUUCGUUGCCCGUGCACUCCCCCACGGGCGGGCCAGCGUCGGUUUCGACGGCCGGUCAAAGGCCCCCGGAAUGUGUCGCCUCUCGGGGCGUCUUAUAGCCGGGGGUGCAAUGCGGCCAGUCGGGACCGAGGAACGCGCUUCGGCACGGACGCUGGCUUAAUGGUCGUAAGCGACCCGUCUUGAAACACGGACCAAGGAGUCUAACAUCCACGCGAGUGUUCGGGUGUCAAACCCGUCCGCGCAGUGAAAGCGAACGGAGGUGGGAACCCUUAAGGGUGCACCAUCGACCGAUCCUGAAGUCUUCGGAUGGAUUUGAGUAAGAGCGUGGCUGUUGGGACCCGAAAGAUGGUGAACUAUGCCUGAAUAGGGUGAAGCCAGAGGAAACUCUGGUGGAGGCUCGCAGCGGUUCUGACGUGCAAAUCGAUCGUCGAAUUU
This 812-nucleotide ribosomal RNA is filed under the name Blastomyces dermatitidis. RNAcentral's name for it is "eukaryotic LSU rRNA". It matches the Rfam family "Eukaryotic large subunit ribosomal RNA", at positions 85 to 912 of the family's 3401-position model. Lineage: Eukaryota; Fungi; Ascomycota; Eurotiomycetes; Onygenales; Ajellomycetaceae. The record is from RNAcentral.